This is a long non-coding RNA of Oncorhynchus tshawytscha (Chinook salmon), 1229 nucleotides long. RefSeq lists it as uncharacterized. Lineage: Eukaryota; Metazoa; Chordata; Actinopteri; Salmoniformes; Salmonidae. The record is from RefSeq and is a predicted model, not a curated record. The transcript has 2 exons.
UGGAAGUAGCAGCAGGAGAAGUGGCUCCAAAAUUGCUCUGAUUCCUAGUACAUUUAUUGUUCCAAAUGAACCCAUCUGUCUUAAAUCUCUCCAGUGUUGGUUUGUCUCUGGGUAAUCCACACACCCACGCAAAACACAAGUAAACUUCCGCAAGCUUGGAACAGAAGGUCAGCGUUACAGUGUUCUCAGGGCAGAGGUAUGUGGUUUUGGUUUAAGCCUCCAUCUUAAAAGAUAUAUUCCUCAAAGGUGAACUUUAUACACAAUAGACCGCUGGAGAAGGACAGGCACUGUUACAGUGUUUGGGAGAUAAAAGGGAGCCUUAUCAGACACAAACGACUGCAGCAACAUGUUGGGAUACUGUAACGGGAUUCGUCCUCCUCUGACGAGGCGUAUGAGAGAUCGGACCAAUACGCAGCAUGGGCCAGGAAUGUCAGGGACUUCAUUGUUCGGGCUGUCCCCCUGAAAAUAAGUGACGCAAGACUGGACGAGGUGACUGGCUUCUAUCCCUGCCAUAGUUGUGCAGCAUGUAAGGUUCCUCUAACAAAGUGAGUGUUUUCAGCAGCUCUGCCAUUGGCAAACAAAAGGCUUACAUGCAGCUCUUCUAAUGUGAUAUUCCUUAUCUCCGGUCCAUGCAAUAAAUCCCCUAUUGCAAGUCAUUUCUCAGAGGCUGGUCACAGAGUCUCCUCCAUGUCCUUCUGUGCUAUACAACAGAUGAAACAUUCAAGUAGGGGUGGUAAAGCGUGUACUUAGUCUUCUCCAGACAGAAUGCAGGUGGAUGUUCUAUUUAAAAAAAUUAAAAAAAAACACCUCUUCACCCAUCAGGCAUGAAUGAAGAAUUGUUAUUGAAGGGUUUUAUGUAACUGGUAUAUUGCCUCAUUGGUGUUCAACACCCCCAUCUAGUGGUGUCUCUAGCACCCUACUCUAUAAUCCUGUGUUUUUUAUUCUGAGGAAUGUUCACAUAUAAAAGCAAUAACUGAUGAUAUUUCUCUGUCCGCUUUUGUAUCAUACAUUCUAUUCUACUAUGCACAGAUUUAUAGAUUACCUGAUGUGUUUUCUUGCUUGAUCAUGUGACAUGCAAUUACCCUUGAAAUAGAAGCCAGGUGUGUGUGCCGACAUUCACACCAAUGAUGCCCUGAGGCCGAAACGUUCGUGUUUUGGUUUCACCUUUCAUUUAUGCACUGAUUUUUUUGGGCACCAUGUUUUAAUAAACAGCUUUAUUUUGCAUUCAG